ACUCCUACGGGAGGCAGCAGUGGGGAAUAUUGCACAAUGGGCGCAAGCCUGAUGCAGCCAUGCCGCGUGUAUGAAGAAGGCCUUCGGGUUGUAAAGUACUUUCAGCAGUGAGGAAGGUGGGGUAUGUUAAUAGCAUACUCAUUUGUACGUUAGCUGCAGAAGAAGCACCGGCUAACUCCGUGCCAGCAGCCGCGGUAAUACGGAGGGUGCGAGCGUUAAUCGGAAUUACUGGGCGUAAAGCGCAUGCAGGUGGUUUGUUAAGUCAGAUGUGAAAGCCCGGGGCUCAACCUCGGAAUUGCAUUUGAAACUGGCAAACUAGAGUACUGUAGAGGGGGUUAGAAUUUCAGGUGUAGCGGUGAAAUGCGUAGAGAUCUGAAGGAUACCGGUGGCGAAGGCGGCCCCUGGACAGAUACUGACACUCAGAUGCGAAAGCGUGGGAGCAAACAGGAUUAGAUACCCCGUGGUAGCGACUGA
RNAcentral lists this ribosomal RNA (474 nucleotides) under uncultured bacterium. Its description in RNAcentral is "bacterial SSU rRNA". It matches the Rfam family "Bacterial small subunit ribosomal RNA", at positions 335 to 803 of the family's 1533-position model. The record is from RNAcentral.